UACGUAGGGUGCGAGCGUUAAUCGGAAUUACUGGGCGUAAAGCGUGCGCAGGCGGCUUUGCAAGACAGAUGUGAAAUCCCCGGGCUCAACCUGGGAACUGCAUUUGUGACUGCAAGGCUAGAGUACGGCAGAGGGGGAUGGAAUUCCGCGUGUAGCAGUGAAAUGCGUAGAUAUGCGGAGGAACACCAAUGGCGAAGGCAAUCCCCGGGGCCUGUACUGACGCUCAUGCACGAAAGCGUGGGGAGCAAACAGG
Molecule: ribosomal RNA, 253 nt
Filed under: uncultured bacterium
Lineage: Bacteria
Description: partial 16S ribosomal RNA
Rfam family: Bacterial small subunit ribosomal RNA
Source: RNAcentral